GGUUAAGUUACAAAGGGCGCACGGUGGAUGCCUUGGCACUAGGAGCCGAUGAAGGACGGAACUAAUACCGAUAUGCUUCGGGGAGCUAUAAGUAAGCUUUGAUCCGGAGAUUUCCG
RNAcentral lists this ribosomal RNA (116 nucleotides) under Lacticaseibacillus rhamnosus. RNAcentral's name for it is "partial 23S ribosomal RNA". It matches the Rfam family "Bacterial large subunit ribosomal RNA", at positions 1 to 116 of the family's 2925-position model. Lineage: Bacteria; Bacillati; Bacillota; Bacilli; Lactobacillales; Lactobacillaceae. The record is from RNAcentral.